This 251-nucleotide ribosomal RNA is filed under the name uncultured bacterium. RNAcentral's name for it is "partial 16S ribosomal RNA". It matches the Rfam family "Bacterial small subunit ribosomal RNA", at positions 524 to 776 of the family's 1533-position model. The record is from RNAcentral.
UACGUAGGGGCAAGCGUUGUCCGGAAUCAUUGGGCGUAAAGCGCGCGUAGGUGGUCCCGUAAGUCCGCUGUGAAAGUCAAAGGCUCAACCUUUGAAAGCCGGUGGAUACUGUGGGACUAGAGUACGGAAGAGGCGAGUGGAAUUCCUGGUGUAGCGGUGGAAUGCGCAGAUAUCAGGAGGAACACCAAUAGCGAAGGCAGCUCGCUGGACGUUACUGACACUGAGGCGCGAAAGCGUGGGGAGCGAACAGG